This 2877-nucleotide ribosomal RNA is filed under the name Pseudomonas aeruginosa. RNAcentral's name for it is "23S ribosomal RNA". It matches the Rfam family "Bacterial large subunit ribosomal RNA". The record is from RNAcentral. Lineage: Bacteria; Pseudomonadati; Pseudomonadota; Gammaproteobacteria; Pseudomonadales; Pseudomonadaceae.
UCAAGUGAAGCGCAUACGGUGGAUGCCUUGGCAGUCAGAGGCGAUGAAAGACGUGGUAGCCUGCGAAAAGCUUCGGGGAGUCGGCAAACAGACUUUGAUCCGGAGAUCUCUGAAUGGGGGAACCCACCUAGGAUAACCUAGGUAUCUUGUACUGAAUCCAUAGGUGCAAGAGGCGAACCAGGGGAACUGAAACAUCUAAGUACCCUGAGGAAAAGAAAUCAACCGAGAUUCCCUUAGUAGUGGCGAGCGAACGGGGAUUAGCCCUUAAGCUUCAUUGAUUUUAGCGGAACGCUCUGGAAAGUGCGGCCAUAGUGGGUGAUAGCCCCGUACGCGAAAGGAUCUUUGAAGUGAAAUCGAGUAGGACGGAGCACGAGAAACUUUGUCUGAACAUGGGGGGACCAUCCUCCAAGGCUAAAUACUACUGACUGACCGAUAGUGAACCAGUACCGUGAGGGAAAGGCGAAAAGAACCCCGGAGAGGGGAGUGAAAUAGAACCUGAAACCGUAUGCGUACAAGCAGUGGGAGCCUACUUGUUAGGUGACUGCGUACCUUUUGUAUAAUGGGUCAGCGACUUAUAUUCAGUGGCAAGCUUAACCGUAUAGGGUAGGCGUAGCGAAAGCGAGUCUUAAUAGGGCGUUUAGUCGCUGGGUAUAGACCCGAAACCGGGCGAUCUAUCCAUGAGCAGGUUGAAGGUUAGGUAACACUGACUGGAGGACCGAACCCACUCCCGUUGAAAAGGUAGGGGAUGACUUGUGGAUCGGAGUGAAAGGCUAAUCAAGCUCGGAGAUAGCUGGUUCUCCUCGAAAGCUAUUUAGGUAGCGCCUCAUGUAUCACUCUGGGGGGUAGAGCACUGUUUCGGCUAGGGGGUCAUCCCGACUUACCAAACCGAUGCAAACUCCGAAUACCCAGAAGUGCCGAGCAUGGGAGACACACGGCGGGUGCUAACGUCCGUCGUGAAAAGGGAAACAACCCAGACCGCCAGCUAAGGUCCCAAAGUUGUGGUUAAGUGGUAAACGAUGUGGGAAGGCUUAGACAGCUAGGAGGUUGGCUUAGAAGCAGCCAUCCUUUAAAGAAAGCGUAAUAGCUCACUAGUCGAGUCGGCCUGCGCGGAAGAUGUAACGGGGCUCAAACCACACACCGAAGCUGCGGGUGUCACGUAAGUGACGCGGUAGAGGAGCGUUCUGUAAGCCUGUGAAGGUGAGUUGAGAAGCUUGCUGGAGGUAUCAGAAGUGCGAAUGCUGACAUGAGUAACGACAAUGGGUGUGAAAACACACGCCGAAAGACCAAGGGUUCCUGCGCAACGUUAAUCGACGCAGGGUUAGUCGGUUCCUAAGGCGAGGCUGAAAAGCGUAGUCGAUGGGAAACAGGUUAAUAUUCCUGUACUUCUGGUUACUGCGAUGGAGGGACGGAGAAGGCUAGGCCAGCUUGGCGUUGGUUGUCCAAGUUUAAGGUGGUAGGCUGAAAUCUUAGGUAAAUCCGGGGUUUCAAGGCCGAGAGCUGAUGACGAGUCGUCUUUUAGAUGACGAAGUGGUUGAUGCCAUGCUUCCAAGAAAAGCUUCUAAGCUUCAGGUAACCAGGAACUGUACUCAAACCGACACAGGUGGUCGGGUAGAGAAUACCAAGGCGCUUGAGAGAACUCGGGUGAAGGAACUAGGCAAAAUGGCACCGUAACUUCGGGAGAAGGUGCGCUGGCUAGGUGAAGGAUUUACCUGUAAGCUCUGGCUGGUCGAAGAUACCAGGCCGCUGCGACUGUUUAUUAAAACACAGCACUCUGCAAACACGAAAGUGGACGUAUAGGUGUGACGCCUGCCCGGUGCCGGAAGGUUAAUUGAUGGGGUUAGCGCAAGCGAAGCUCUUGAUCGAAGCCCGGUAAACGGCGGCCGUAACUAUAACGGUCCUAAGGUAGCGAAAUUCCUUGUCGGGUAAGUUCCGACCUGCACGAAUGGCGUAACGAUGGCGGCGCUGUCUCCACCCGAGACUCAGUGAAAUUGAAAUCGCUGUGAAGAUGCAGUGUAUCCGCGGCUAGACGGAAAGACCCCGUGAACCUUUACUGUAGCUUUGCACUGGACUUUGAGCCUGCUUGUGUAGGAUAGGUGGGAGGCUUUGAAGCGUGGACGCCAGUUCGCGUGGAGCCAUCCUUGAAAUACCACCCUGGCAUGCUUGAGGUUCUAACUCUGGUCCGUGAUCCGGAUCGAGGACAGUGUAUGGUGGGCAGUUUGACUGGGGCGGUCUCCUCCUAAAGAGUAACGGAGGAGUACGAAGGUGCGCUCAGACCGGUCGGAAAUCGGUCGCAGAGUAUAAAGGCAAAAGCGCGCUUGACUGCGAGACAGACACGUCGAGCAGGUACGAAAGUAGGUCUUAGUGAUCCGGUGGUUCUGUAUGGAAGGGCCAUCGCUCAACGGAUAAAAGGUACUCCGGGGAUAACAGGCUGAUACCGCCCAAGAGUUCAUAUCGACGGCGGUGUUUGGCACCUCGAUGUCGGCUCAUCACAUCCUGGGGCUGAAGCCGGUCCCAAGGGUAUGGCUGUUCGCCAUUUAAAGUGGUACGCGAGCUGGGUUUAGAACGUCGUGAGACAGUUCGGUCCCUAUCUGCCGUGGACGUUUGAGAUUUGAGAGGGGCUGCUCCUAGUACGAGAGGACCGGAGUGGACGAACCUCUGGUGUUCCGGUUGUCACGCCAGUGGCAUUGCCGGGUAGCUAUGUUCGGAAAAGAUAACCGCUGAAAGCAUCUAAGCGGGAAACUUGCCUCAAGAUGAGAUCUCACUGGGAACUUGAUUCCCCUGAAGGGCCGUCGAAGACUACGACGUUGAUAGGCUGGGUGUGUAAGCGUUGUGAGGCGUUGAGCUAACCAGUACUAAUUGCCCGUGAGGCUUGACCAU